Molecule: ribosomal RNA, 328 nt
Filed under: Vibrio splendidus 5S-101
Lineage: Bacteria; Pseudomonadati; Pseudomonadota; Gammaproteobacteria; Vibrionales; Vibrionaceae
Description: bacterial LSU rRNA
Rfam family: Bacterial large subunit ribosomal RNA
Source: RNAcentral
AUGUGGGGUAGGGGAGCGUUCUGUAAGCCGUUGAAGGUGGUCUGUAAGGGCUGCUGGAGGUAUCAGAAGUGCGAAUGCUGACAUGAGUAACGAUAAAGGGAGUGAAAAACUCCCUCGCCGGAAGACCAAGGGUUCCUGUCCAACGUUAAUCGGGGCAGGGUAAGUCGACUCCUAAGGCGAGGCCGAAAGGCGUAGUCGAUGGGAAACGGGUUAAUAUUCCCGUACUUCUUACAAUUGCGAUGGGGGGACGGAGAAGGCUAGGUGGGCCUGGCGACGGUUGUCCAGGUUCAAGUAUGUAGGCGGAAAGUUUAGGUAAAUCCGGACUUUC